This 497-nucleotide long non-coding RNA is filed under the name Nilaparvata lugens (brown planthopper). RNAcentral's name for it is "uncharacterized LOC111047748". Lineage: Eukaryota; Metazoa; Arthropoda; Insecta; Hemiptera; Delphacidae. The record is from RNAcentral.
CUGCACGCCAUUUGGUCAAUGCAUUUUGCAUUUGCAAUGGACCAACAGUUUUUUGAGGUUGUUUGUGUUUUGUAGUUUGUAAUUUUUGUGAUUUUAUCCAGGAAAUAUAGGAGCUGUGGUGAUGAAAUUUUCCAACACAAAAGAAAAAUACAUAGAAGCAGUACGGUAAUCAAAUACUGGCUGAAGUCUCCAAAAACUCGUUUUACCAGCAUAGAGAAAUCUAAAAAUGUUCAAACACCGGAUCCUGGAGGAAAAUCUGAAUGCUACAAAAAUUGAGAUUGAAUUGAGGUACAGUAACAUAAACCAGUAUGUAGCUCAAAAAAUUGCUACUUCAAACAGGAAGAGAUUAAAGUAUUCUGGAGCACCACAAUAAGGACCUUUCUUAAUAGAUAAAUGACAUGCAUAUGAGUUAUUUUAAUAAACAAACUUCUCACAUUAUUCAAGUCUUAACUAUUUACAUCCCUUAAUUAUUCAUCAAUAUGUCAAUAGACAUCUAU